This 480-nucleotide long non-coding RNA is filed under the name Fukomys damarensis (Damara mole-rat). RNAcentral describes it as "lncRNA (ENSFDAG00000025084.1)". The record is from RNAcentral. Lineage: Eukaryota; Metazoa; Chordata; Mammalia; Rodentia; Bathyergidae.
CAAUUAAAGUAAAUACAAUUUAUUUUUGAUUUACAGAUUUCACAGGGAAAGGUGCUUCAAAAAUUAAGUGUGUAACAGUGAAGUAACUGAUAAAAGUGGCAGACUGAACCCCUGGGAGAGCCACAGUGUGAAGAUAAACUCGGGCAGCAGAAAAACCACUGGCUGCAAAGACUGAUAAUGACACAGACAUGGCAAGAACAGCAGCAGGGCAUGUGCGUAUGGCAGCAAAGAUAUAAACUAGAUGACUCCGGGGCCAUGAAAAGAAGCUUUACUCCUAAAAAGGGACUUCUGGAACAGAUGCAAAAGCAGAUCGAUGAGAUUACAUCUCAAGUGAGAGAAGAGAAAAGUCCUCCUUUCCUUUGGAAUAGGGACUCAGAAUAGAACCUCCAUGUUCCAUAUCACCAUGCAGACUGUCACCAUAUGGACAGCAGUGCAAGGACACCGAAGAAGUGAUUUAUAACUGCAGUGUGUAAGUCUCUG